This is a long non-coding RNA of Vespula vulgaris, 451 nucleotides long. RefSeq lists it as uncharacterized. The record is from RefSeq and is a predicted model, not a curated record. Lineage: Eukaryota; Metazoa; Arthropoda; Insecta; Hymenoptera; Vespidae. The transcript is spliced from 2 exons.
ACUUUCACAUAGAGAAAAAUAAACUGAAGUCGUUUAACCGAUUCAGUGAAGACUAAUCAGAUAUCGUAGAAGAGAGUGUCAUCGUUUCUAUCUUGGUGAAUCAAUAACAAAGGAGCACAUUAAACAAAUCGCACACUUAUAAAUGACUGUAACAGAAUAUCGCAAAUUUAUAACUCUUAAACGAGUUCUGGAAUACACACAACCUCCUGCCAAGAAUGAAUAGGAAAGACGGCAUUGAUAAGCUGUUGACUGUCGCUUGCUUUUAGUUUUGCACAUUAAUAGGAGAAUAUCUCAGGAAAGUCGAAUUGUCGCUUGUACGAAUUCAACGCAUUGGGCAUCGGUUGUCCGUCGGAACAAUUCCGCUUUGAUUAAAUUUAUUUUUAUAUUACGAUUAAAACGGACCGUCGUAAUCUUAAGUUAUUUGCAUGAAAAAUAAAUACAAGAAUACAAA